RNAcentral lists this long non-coding RNA (463 nucleotides) under Capsicum annuum. RNAcentral describes it as "long non-coding RNA (CANN_LNC004579)". Lineage: Eukaryota; Viridiplantae; Streptophyta; Magnoliopsida; Solanales; Solanaceae. The record is from RNAcentral.
AUAGAAAAGAGGACAUGGAUUAGAGAAAAAAAAAGAAACAGAAAGAAAAGAAAGAAAAUUGAGAGAAAAGGGAGAAAGAAACAACAAUAAAAACGAAAAAGAAAGGGAAAAAGGUUAAGUUUGAGUGGAGUUAUAUUUCCAUUUCGAGUUUCCGCUGACAAUGUUUCUAUUUUUAUUCUCAAUUACUGUAUUAUUCAGGUUUUGCUCAAUUCCUUUGUAUUUGUUAUGUUUUAAUUUUAUCAAUGAAAUAGGAAAGAAGUUGUUUGGAUGAUUUCAUGUAUUGUUUGACAUAUAAAGUUAAUCGUUUAUAUGUGGUUCAUUCUUUAAAAUUCUGAUUAUUGCAUUAAGUUUCUUUUCACGCAUGAUAUUUUUCGGUUUUGUCAGGGAAAUGCAUUAUAAUUUGGGAUGACUUAUCAAUAUCUCGUAUCUCUAUUGAACCAUUUAAUACUAUUUCAUAUUGUAA